UUGUUGUAGUAGUUGUUCUUAUUGUAGUUGUUGUAUUAGUGGUUGAUGUUACAAUAAGGAGAAGAAGAAGAGAAAAAAAUAAGAAGUAGUAGUAGUUGUUGUUAUUGUAGUUGUUGUAGUAGUAGUUGUUGUAGGAGAGAAAAAAUAAGAAGGAGAGAAGAAGAAGAGGAGGAGAAGAACAAAAGAAGAAGAAGAAGAAGAAAAGAAGAAAAGAAGAAGAAAAAAAUAAGAAGGACAAGAAGAGAAAAAAGAAGAAAA
RNAcentral lists this long non-coding RNA (258 nucleotides) under Hordeum vulgare. Its description in RNAcentral is "long non-coding RNA (HVUL_LNC006668)". Lineage: Eukaryota; Viridiplantae; Streptophyta; Magnoliopsida; Poales; Poaceae. The record is from RNAcentral.